This 482-nucleotide ribosomal RNA is filed under the name Zonophora sp. EMP-2016. RNAcentral's name for it is "eukaryotic LSU rRNA". The record is from RNAcentral. Lineage: Eukaryota; Metazoa; Arthropoda; Insecta; Odonata; Gomphidae.
UCUGUGAGUAAACGGGUGGUACCCGAAAGUUCGAAAGGGGAGAUUCAAGUCUCGCCGCGCGCCGGGCGGCGGACGCGAGAAGAGAUGGCGUCUUCGUGGUCGAGGGGAAACUCUCAGCCCGGGGGCGCCACUCCGUGGGCGCCGUAUCUCCCGGCGUCGGAGUGACGCACUUCUCCCCGAGUAGGACGUCGCGACCCGUCGAGCGCCGGCCUAAGGUCCCGGGUGGAGUCUGUGUGGUCUGCUUAUGCCGACCGCGCACGACCUCGGGAAUCCCGGCCGGGUGCCCGACGGUACGAAGCAUGAAAGGAGUCGACGCGCCACUCAUUUGGCGUCUGGCCCUCUGCAAGCGCCCGCGGUAGUCCGGGUAGCGGGCCUGGCCCGAUUCCGGUCUGUUUGCGGGGCUGUUCGCGAGCAGGAGGUGUCCUUGGACGGCGUUGAUCCUCCAGUCGGCGACGCUUCAGCUUGGAUGGCCUACCCGACCC